GAUGGGGGGACGGAUCGCGGAAGGUUGUCCGGGUGUUGGAUGUCCCGGUCCCUGCAUUGGAGAUGGCACUUAGGCAAAUCCGGGUGCGUGAUUCAAGGGUGUGGGGCGAGCGACUUUAGGUCGCGAAGCAAUUGGAAGUGGUUCCAAGAAAAGCCUCUAAGCUUCAGUCAUACGAGACCGUACCGCAAACCGACACAGGUGGGCGAGAUGAGUAUUCUAAGGCGCUUGAGAGAACUCGGGAGAAGGAACUCGGCAAAUUGGUACCGUAACUUCGGGAUAAGGUACGCCCUUGUAGUUUGACUGGCUCGCGCCAGAAGGACGAAGGGGUUGCAAUAAAAUGGUGGCUGCGACUGUUUAAUAAAAACACAGCACUCUGCAAACACGAAAGUGGACGUAUAGGGUGUGACGCCUGCCCGGUGCCGGAAGAUUAAAUGAUGGGGUGCAAGCUCUUGAUUGAAGUCCCGGUAAACGGCGGCCGUAACUAUAACGGUCCUAAGGUAGCGAAAUUC
RNAcentral lists this ribosomal RNA (509 nucleotides) under Staphylococcus aureus. RNAcentral's name for it is "bacterial LSU rRNA". It matches the Rfam family "Bacterial large subunit ribosomal RNA", at positions 1463 to 1967 of the family's 2925-position model. The record is from RNAcentral. Lineage: Bacteria; Bacillati; Bacillota; Bacilli; Caryophanales; Staphylococcaceae.